AGAGUUUGAUCAUGGCUCAGAUUGAACGCUGGCGGCAGGCCUAAGACAUGCAAGUCGAACGGUAACGACACUAGCUUGCUAGUGGUCGACGAGUGGCGGACGGGUGAGUAACGCGUAGGAAUCUACCUAGUAGUGGGGGAUAGCCAAGGGAAACUUUGGGUUAUACCGCAUACGAUCUAAGGAUGAAAGGGGGCCUCUCUUUGAAGCUCUCGCUAUUAGAUGAGCCUGCGUAAGAUUAGCUUGUUGGUGGGGUAAUGGCUCACCAAGGCGACAAUCUUUAGCU
Molecule: ribosomal RNA, 283 nt
Filed under: uncultured alpha proteobacterium SUR-FREE-2
Lineage: Bacteria; Pseudomonadati; Pseudomonadota; Alphaproteobacteria
Description: partial 16S ribosomal RNA
Rfam family: Bacterial small subunit ribosomal RNA
Source: RNAcentral